This 2881-nucleotide ribosomal RNA is filed under the name Escherichia coli O121:H19 str. 03-3227. RNAcentral's name for it is "bacterial LSU rRNA". It matches the Rfam family "Bacterial large subunit ribosomal RNA". The record is from RNAcentral. Lineage: Bacteria; Pseudomonadati; Pseudomonadota; Gammaproteobacteria; Enterobacterales; Enterobacteriaceae.
GGGUUGUGAGGUUAAGCGACUAAGCGUACACGGUGGAUGCCCUGGCAGUCAGAGGCGAUGAAGGACGUGCUAAUCUGCGAUAAGCGUCGGUAAGGUGAUAUGAACCGUUAUAACCGGCGAUUUCCGAAUGGGGAAACCCAGUGUGUUUCGACACACUAUCAUUAACUGAAUCCAUAGGUUAAUGAGGCGAACCGGGGGAACUGAAACAUCUAAGUACCCCGAGGAAAAGAAAUCAACCGAGAUUCCCCCAGUAGCGGCGAGCGAACGGGGAGCAGCCCAGAGCCUGAAUCAGUGUGUGUGUUAGUGGAAGCGUCUGGAAAGGCGCGCGAUACAGGGUGACAGCCCCGUACACAAAAAUGCACAUACUGUGAGCUCGAUGAGUAGGGCGGGACACGUGGUAUCCUGUCUGAAUAUGGGGGGACCAUCCUCCAAGGCUAAAUACUCCUGACUGACCGAUAGUGAACCAGUACCGUGAGGGAAAGGCGAAAAGAACCCCGGCGAGGGGAGUGAAAAAGAACCUGAAACCGUGUACGUACAAGCAGUGGGAGCACGCUUAGGCGUGUGACUGCGUACCUUUUGUAUAAUGGGUCAGCGACUUAUAUUCUGUAGCAAGGUUAACCGAAUAGGGGAGCCGAAGGGAAACCGAGUCUUAACUGGGCGUUAAGUUGCAGGGUAUAGACCCGAAACCCGGUGAUCUAGCCAUGGGCAGGUUGAAGGUUGGGUAACACUAACUGGAGGACCGAACCGACUAAUGUUGAAAAAUUAGCGGAUGACUUGUGGCUGGGGGUGAAAGGCCAAUCAAACCGGGAGAUAGCUGGUUCUCCCCGAAAGCUAUUUAGGUAGCGCCUCGUGAAUUCAUCUCCGGGGGUAGAGCACUGUUUCGGCAAGGGGGUCAUCCCGACUUACCAACCCGAUGCAAACUGCGAAUACCGGAGAAUGUUAUCACGGGAGACACACGGCGGGUGCUAACGUCCGUCGUGAAGAGGGAAACAACCCAGACCGCCAGCUAAGGUCCCAAAGUCAUGGUUAAGUGGGAAACGAUGUGGGAAGGCCCAGACAGCCAGGAUGUUGGCUUAGAAGCAGCCAUCAUUUAAAGAAAGCGUAAUAGCUCACUGGUCGAGUCGGCCUGCGCGGAAGAUGUAACGGGGCUAAACCAUGCACCGAAGCUGCGGCAGCGACGCUGAUGCGUUGUUGGGUAGGGGAGCGUUCUGUAAGCCUGCGAAGGUGUGCUGUGAGGCAUGCUGGAGGUAUCAGAAGUGCGAAUGCUGACAUAAGUAACGAUAAAGCGGGUGAAAAGCCCGCUCGCCGGAAGACCAAGGGUUCCUGUCCAACGUUAAUCGGGGCAGGGUGAGUCGACCCCUAAGGCGAGGCCGAAAGGCGUAGUCGAUGGGAAACAGGUUAAUAUUCCUGUACUUGGUGUUACUGCGAAGGGGGGACGGAGAAGGCUAUGUUGGCCGGGCGACGGUUGUCCCGGUUUAAGCGUGUAGGCUGGUUUUCCAGGCAAAUCCGGAAAAUCAAGGCUGAGGCGUGAUGACGAGGCACUACGGUGCUGAAGCAACAAAUGCCCUGCUUCCAGGAAAAGCCUCUAAGCAUCAGGUAACAUCAAAUCGUACCCCAAACCGACACAGGUGGUCAGGUAGAGAAUACCAAGGCGCUUGAGAGAACUCGGGUGAAGGAACUAGGCAAAAUGGUGCCGUAACUUCGGGAGAAGGCACGCUGAUAUGUAGGUGAAGUCCCUCGCGGAUGGAGCUGAAAUCAGUCGAAGAUACCAGCUGGCUGCAACUGUUUAUUAAAAACACAGCACUGUGCAAACACGAAAGUGGACGUAUACGGUGUGACGCCUGCCCGGUGCCGGAAGGUUAAUUGAUGGGGUCAGCGCAAGCGAAGCUCUUGAUCGAAGCCCCGGUAAACGGCGGCCGUAACUAUAACGGUCCUAAGGUAGCGAAAUUCCUUGUCGGGUAAGUUCCGACCUGCACGAAUGGCGUAAUGAUGGCCAGGCUGUCUCCACCCGAGACUCAGUGAAAUUGAACUCGCUGUGAAGAUGCAGUGUACCCGCGGCAAGACGGAAAGACCCCGUGAACCUUUACUAUAGCUUGACACUGAACAUUGAGCCUUGAUGUGUAGGAUAGGUGGGAGGCUUUGAAGUGUGGACGCCAGUCUGCAUGGAGCCGACCUUGAAAUACCACCCUUUAAUGUUUGAUGUUCUAACGUUGACCCGUGAUCCGGGUUGCGGACAGUGUCUGGUGGGUAGUUUGACUGGGGCGGUCUCCUCCUAAAGAGUAACGGAGGAGCACGAAGGUUGGCUAAUCCUGGUCGGACAUCAGGAGGUUAGUGCAAUGGCAUAAGCCAGCUUGACUGCGAGCGUGACGGCGCGAGCAGGUGCGAAAGCAGGUCAUAGUGAUCCGGUGGUUCUGAAUGGAAGGGCCAUCGCUCAACGGAUAAAAGGUACUCCGGGGAUAACAGGCUGAUACCGCCCAAGAGUUCAUAUCGACGGCGGUGUUUGGCACCUCGAUGUCGGCUCAUCACAUCCUGGGGCUGAAGUAGGUCCCAAGGGUAUGGCUGUUCGCCAUUUAAAGUGGUACGCGAGCUGGGUUUAGAACGUCGUGAGACAGUUCGGUCCCUAUCUGCCGUGGGCGCUGGAGAACUGAGGGGGGCUGCUCCUAGUACGAGAGGACCGGAGUGGACGCAUCACUGGUGUUCGGGUUGUCAUGCCAAUGGCACUGCCCGGUAGCUAAAUGCGGAAGAGAUAAGUGCUGAAAGCAUCUAAGCACGAAACUUGCCCCGAGAUGAGUUCUCCCUGACUCCUUGAGAGUCCUGAAGGAACGUUGAAGACGACGACGUUGAUAGGCCGGGUGUGUAAGCGCAGCGAUGCGUUGAGCUA